UACGGGGGGGGCAAGCGUUGUUCGGAAUUACUGGGCGUAAAGGGCUCGUAGGCGGCCAACUAAGUCAGACGUGAAAUCCCUCGGCUUAACCGGGGAACUGCGUCUGAUACUGGAUGGCUUGAGGUUGGGAGAGGGAUGCGGAAUUCCAGGUGUAGCGGUGAAAUGCGUAGAUAUCUGGAGGAACACCGGUGGCGAAGGCGGCAUCCUGGACCAAUUCUGACGCUGAGGAGCGAAAGCCAGGGGAGCAAACGGG
This 253-nucleotide ribosomal RNA is filed under the name Acidobacterium sp. RNAcentral describes it as "partial 16S ribosomal RNA". It matches the Rfam family "Bacterial small subunit ribosomal RNA", at positions 524 to 776 of the family's 1533-position model. The record is from RNAcentral. RNAcentral also lists the same sequence under 2 other names. Lineage: Bacteria; Pseudomonadati; Acidobacteriota; Terriglobia; Terriglobales; Acidobacteriaceae.